This 22847-nucleotide long non-coding RNA is filed under the name Hordeum vulgare. RNAcentral describes it as "long non-coding RNA (HVUL_LNC012421)". Lineage: Eukaryota; Viridiplantae; Streptophyta; Magnoliopsida; Poales; Poaceae. The record is from RNAcentral.
ACAUACAAAGUUUCGUCCAUAUAUACAUACAUAUAGUUGCACAUAUAUUGUUCAUCCAUAUAUACAUAUACAUAUAGUUCCACAUUGUUCAUCAACUCAAAUAAAAACGGGAACUAAAGCACUCCAAUGCCAGCUUCCAUGCAUGUAGUACAUCCAAUCUGCAAAAUGGGAAUAAGAAACACAGAAGAAGAAGAAGAAGAAGAACAUAUAUAUGACAAAUAAGCUAAAUUGAAGAAGAAAGAGAAGAAGCAAGAAGAGAACAAGGAGAAGAAAAACAAGGAGGAGGAGGAGGAGGAGGAGGGGAAGGAGAAGGACAAGGAGGAGGAGAAGAAGAAAAAAGAAGAAGAGAAGAAGAAGGAGAAGAAGGAGGAGAAGGAGGAGAGAAGAAGAAGGAGAAGAAGGAUGGCUCCUUCUCCUUCUUCUCCUCCUUCUCCUCCUCCUCCUUCUUCUUCUCCUUCUCCUUCUCCUUCUCUUCUUCUUCUCUUCUUUUUCUUCUUCUUCCUUCUUUUCAUUUCUCCUCUUCUUGGAGCUAAAUUAGCUAACUAUGUCUUUUCGCAGCUAAAUGGGCUAAUUAUGUCAUUCUAGCGGAAAACAAGCUAAGUAUAUAAUAUUAAUGAGCUAAUCAAGGUUCUUAUGCCAUUUUGAGCUUAUUAUGUCUUUUAGGAGCUUAAUUAGUCAUUUUAUUGAGCUAACCAAGGUUCUUAUGAUGUUUUUACCUAACUAAGCUAAUUAUGUCAUUUUGGAUGAUAAUUGGCUAAGUAUGUCUUUGUUGGGGAAAAUAAGCUAAAUUGAAGAAGAAGAGGAGAAGAAGGAGGGAAGAAGAAGGAGAAUAAGGAGGGCUCCUUCUCCUCCUUCUCCUUCUUCUCUUCUUCUUCUCCUCCUCCUUCUUCUCCUUCUCCUUCUCUUCUCUUUCUCUUCUUCUUUUUGUUCUUCCUUUUUAUUUCUCCUCUUCUCCUCUUCUUGGAGCUAAAUUAGCUAACUAUGUCAUUAUAGAGGAAAACAAGCUAAGUAUAUAAUAUUAAUGAGCUAACCAAGGUUCUUAUGCCAUUUUGAGCUUAUAAUGUCUUUUUGGAGCUAAAUUGUCUAAUUAUGUCAUUGUUGGGGAAAUUAAGGCAAGGAGAAUAUGAAAGAAGAAAAGAAAGAGGAGGAGGAGAAGAAGAAGAAGAAAUAAAGAAGGAGGAGGAGAAGGACUAGAAGGUCCUUGGCCUUCUCCUCCUUCUCCUCCUCCUCCUCCUCCUCCUUCUCCUUCUUCUNNNNNNNNNNNNNNNNNNNNNNNNNNNNNNNNNNNNNNNNNNNNNNNNNNNNNNNNNNNNNNNNNNNNNNNNNNNNNNNNNNNNNNNNNNNNNNNNNNNNGGAGGAGGAGAAGGACUAGAAGGUCCUUGGCCUUCUCCUCCUUCUUCUCCUCCUCCUCCUCCACCUCCUCCUUCUUCUCCUCCUCCUUCUUCUCCUUCUCCUUCUCUUCUCUUUUUCUUCUUUUUUGUUCUUCCUUUUCAUUUCUCCUCUUCUUGGAGCUAAAUUAGCUAACUAUGUCAUUAUAGAGGAAAACAAGCUAAGUAUAUAAUAUUAAUGAGCUAACCAAGGUUCUUAUGCCAUUUUGAGCUUAUAAUGUCUUUUUGGAGCUAACCAAGGUUUUUAUGCCAUUAAGGAGAAUAAGGAGGAGGAGGAGGAGGAGAAGGACUAGAAGGUCCUUGGCCUUCUCCUCCUUCUCCUCCUCCUCCUCCUCCUUCUCCUUCUUCUCUUCUUCUUCUUUCUUUUCAUUUUUCCUAUUUAUUCUCCUCUUCACCUCUUCUUGGAGCUAAAUUAGCUAAAUAUGUCUUUUUGGAGCUAAAUGGUAUAAUUAUCCCAUUUUAGAGGAAAACAAGCUAAGUAUAUAAUAUUAAUAAGCUAACCAAGCUUCUUAUGCCAUUUUGAGGUUAUUAUGGCAUUUUGGAGCUAAAUGGUCUAAUUAUGUCAUUGUUGGGGAAAUUAAGGAAAGGAUAAUAUGAAAGAGGAGAAGAAAGAGGAGGAGGAGAAGAAGAAGAAGAAAUAAAGAAGAAGGAGGAGAAGGAGGAGGAGGAGGAGAAGGACUAGAAGGUCCUUGGCCUUCUCCUCCUGCUCCUCUUCCUCCUCCUCCUCCUUCUCCUUCUUCUCUUCUUCUUCUUUCUUUUCGANNNNNNNNNNNNNNNNNNNNNNNNNNNNNNNNNNNNNNNNNNNNNNNNNNNNNNNNNNNNNNNNNNNNNNNNNNNNNNNNNNNNNNNNNNNNNNNNNNNNCCGCGUAAUGCCCCGGGGUAACCCUGAGGCCUUCUGGACCCCCUCCCGAGGAGCCUCCAACACUGGCACAGGCGGCGCUACUAAAGGAGAGGCGCCACAAAGAACAAGAGGCCCCGAAGGCUGCUGCACAGCUGCGAGCGUCAGCACCUUCAGAGGCCGGGGAUCCUUGGAGGCCAGUUCUCCAUGCAACGGCGUCCCCACGCUCACCAGAGGAUGCUUCGGGGGCUCGGGGGGCUUGACGACCAAGGCCAGGGAGGCCGCCCAAAGAUCCCCUCCUCCUCCUCCUUACCCGUAGACGGUGAUGUGUCGACAAGGGCAGGCGGGGCAUCGAGAGACGCCUUCGGCCUAGCAACCGUCUUCUUCUUCUUCGGCGUGAGACCAAAUCAGCGUUCGCCCAUGCUCACUGGACUCACCCACGGUCCAUGGAAGCACCGAGACGAGAUCCGCCUCCUUGGAGAGGGCGCAGUCCAGGAGCGGAGAAGUUGGGGCCAGGCCAUGCCCCUCUGGCUUAUACUUGCCGGUGGUGCCAUCGCUGGAUUGUCGAGUAACUAUGCGACACUGGAUCUGGGAGGCAUCGGCCGGAGUCAAAGGCUUAAGAAGAAAGACGAGUGCGGUAAAAGGAAGGCAAUAAGGCACCGAAGCUACAAGCAGGGCACCUAAUAAAGGGGGCAGAGAUAGAGGACAAGGAGGCAUGGACGCCAUCCGCGUGUCGUGCGCCGGCCUGGACCAUAGGUGUUUGAGGGCCCACGACGUCUCAUGCUACCCCUCAAGGCUCCUCCCUGAAGCCAACCCGAGCACACCGCAUGUCCGGCGGCUACUGUCGGCCUUCUGGGACUCGGGGUACCCAGACCUGCCUGCCUGUGGCCCAGGACGGGCCCGCUUCACUAGAGUGACGCAACAAGCCCAGUGAUAACCCACAAGUAUAAGGGAUCACAACAGUUUUCGAGGGUAGAGUAUUCAACCCAAACAUAUUGAUUCGACACAAGGGGAAGCCAAAGAAUAUUCUCAAGUAUUAGCAGUUGAGUUGUCAAUUCAACCACACCUAAAAGACUUAGUAUCUGCCGCAAAUCUAUCAGUAGCAAGGUAGUGUGAUAGCAACAGUAACCAGUAGCAACAAAGUGACAGCAGUGGUGACAGAGUAACAGUAGCAGCAGUAACAACAGUAGCGGCAAAGUAACGUAGCAAGGACCAGUAGGAAAAACUCGUAGGCAUUGGAUCAGUGAUGGAUGAUUAUGCCAGAAGGUAUUCAUCAUGCAACAGUUAUAACACGGNNNNNNNNNNNNNNNNNNNNNNNNNNNNNNNNNNNNNNNNNNNNNNNNNNNNNNNNNNNNNNNNNNNNNNNNNNNNNNNNNNNNNNNNNNNNNNNNNNNNCUUAAUGCUUAAUAUGUAAGCAGCCUCUCCUAGGUAAUUCGUUGAAAAACAUUAGUUCAAGUAAUCCUUUACACUCUCUAAAAACUCCACAUUGUUUUCAAUCAGCAAUAUGUCAUCCACAUAUAACAUUAGAAACGCUACAGAGCUCCCACUCACUUUCUUGUAUAUAGAAGAUUCUCCAACAACUUGUAUAAUCCCAAAUGUCUUGAUCACCUCAUCAAAGCGUUUAUUCCAACUCCGAAAUGCUUGCACCAGUCCAUAAAUAGAUCGCUAGAGCUUGCAUACUUUGCUAGCAUUCUUUGGAUCGACAAAACCUUCGGAUUGCAUCAUAUACAAGUCUUCCUUAAGAAACCAUUAAGGAACCCCAUUUUGACAUCCAUCAUCAUAUACAAGUCUUCCUUAAGAAACCAUUAAGGAACACCAUUUUGACAUCCAUCUGCCAAAUUUCAUAAUCGAAAUAUGCAGCAAUUGCUAACAUGAUUCGGACGGACUUAAGCAUCGCUACCAGUGAUAAUGUAUCAUCGUAGUCAACAACUUGAACUUGUGAAAAUACUUUUUCCACAAGUCGAGCUUUAUAAAAGGUCACAUUACCAACCGCGUCCGUCUUCUUGAAGAUCCAUUUGUUCUGAAUAGCCUUGCAACCUUCAGGUAAUACUUCCAAAGUCCACACUUUGUUUUCAUACAUAGACCCUAUCUCGGAUUUCAUGGCCUCUAGCCAUUUAUUGGAAUCAGGGCCCACCAUUGCUUCUUCAUAAUUCGCAGGCUCGUUGUUGUCUAACAACAUGAUAGAUAAGACAGGAUUUCCGUACCACUCAGGAGCAGUACGUGAUCUGGUCGACCUGCGAGGUCCGAUAGUAACUUGAUCCGAAACUUCAUGAUCACCAUCAUUAGCUUCCUCCUCAACCGGUGUUUCCUCGACACAGAUUUCCCUCUGCCCCGCGCCACCAUCUUGAGCGAGCAGAGGUUCCAAAACCUCAUCAAUUCUUUCGAGAGAAACUAUUUCUCAAGAAAAGCUUCGUUCUUAGAAACAAACACUUUGCCCUCGGAUCUGAGAUAGAAGGUGUACCCAACUGUCUCUUUUGGACAACUAUGAAGACGCACUUUUCCGCUUUGGGUUCCAGCUUUUCAGGCUGAAGCUUUUUGACAUAAGCAUCGCAUCCACAAACUUUAAGAAACGACAACUUUGGCAUCUUGCCACACCAUAGUUCAUAUGGUGUCGUCUCAACGGAUUUUGAUGGUGCCCUAUUUAAAGUGUAUGCAGAUGUCUCUAAUGCAUAACCCCAAAACGAUAAUGGCAAACCGGUAAGAUACAUCAUAGAUCGCACCAUAUCUAACGAAGUAGGAUUACGACGUUUGGACACACCAUUACGAUGUGGUGUUCCAGGCGGUGUCAACUGUGAAACAAUUCCAAAUUGUCUUAAGUGAGCACCAAACUCAAAACUCAGAUAUUCGCCCCCUCGAUCAGAUCAUAGGAACUUAAUCUUCUUGCUACGAUGAUUUUCAACUUCACUUUGAAAUUGCUUGAAGUUUUGAAAUGUUUCAGACUUGUACUUCAUCAAGUAGAUAUAUCCAUAGCUACUCAAAUCAUCAGUGAAGGUGAGAAAAUAACGAUAUCCGUAGCGCGCCUCCACACUCAUUGGCCCGCACACAUCAGUAUGUAUGAUCUCCAACAAGUCACUUGCACGCUCCAUUGUUCCGGAGAAUGGAGUCUUAGUCAUCUUGCCCAUGAGGCAUGGUUCGCACUUGUCAAGUGAUUCGAAAUCAAGUGACUCCAAAAUUCCAUCAGCAUGGAUUUUCUUCAUGCGCUUUACACCAAAAUGACCUAAGCAGCAGUGCCACAAAAAGGUUGCGCUAUCAUUGUUAACUCUACAUCUUUUGGUCUCAAUGUUAUGGAUAUGUGUGUCAUCAUAAUCAAGAUUCAAUAUGAACAAACCCCUCACAUUUGGUGCAUGACCAUAAAAGAUAUUACUCAUAAAAAUAGAACAACCAUUNNNNNNNNNNNNNNNNNNNNNNNNNNNNNNNNNNNNNNNNNNNNNNNNNNNNNNNNNNNNNNNNNNNNNNNNNNNNNNNNNNNNNNNNNNNNNNNNNNNNAACACAGUUUUGAACUCAAAAGGACAUGCAUAUAUUUGAGCCACCCAAUGCAAGGAACAAAAGAUUUGGUGUCCACCGGAAAAAAAUAUUCACAAUUCCAUCGAAUGUUGUUAGUGCUGGAUGCCACAUUUGUAGAAAAAUCAGGCUCAGACUUGUGAGAAGGAGAUAUACCUCACUCAUGAUGAUCUAUCACGCACAGCUAAGCCGAUAGAUAAGAAAUUAAUUGGCGACCGUAUUGUCGGAUUUCGGGCUCCACAAAGCCCUAAGGAUCCGAACANNNNNNNNNNNNNNNNNNNNNNNNNNNNNNNNNNNNNNNNNNNNNNNNNNNNCUAAGGAUCCGAACACUGGGGCGUGUAUGAAGAUCUCCCCUGCUUCGCCUCGCAUGUCUCACUACUCGAUGGAAACAAUGAAGGACUCACUCGAAGGUUCAGGCCGCUGCGAAGCAUAAAACACUACACCUGCUUUGAUGGAUUGCCUCUCUCUGAGGUUGAGGAACGAGAUGGUACACGACUUUUGCGCCUCCAGAGGCCAAGUGGCUAAGCGUGCUGCUCUAGGGUUUCGAUCCCCUCUCUCAACUAUCCUACCCUAUCUAUUUAUAGUGGAGGCCCGGGUCCUCUUCCCUNNNNNNNNNNNNNNNNNNNNNNNNNNNNNNNGGGUCCUCUUCCCUCUUAGCUUUGGCGGGAAGGGAUUCCACAACGACCAAUUUUGAAGGGGAACAUGCUCCCCUAACAAGAGAUGGUCUUCACCUGCAAAGUAAUUGUCCACCCCAUAGAGACCGGCUCGUGGAUGACGUUUGCCCUACUGGCGGGAGACUGCGGCUUUGUUGCACCAGAAGAUAAACCUUUGGGGGAUGCCUUUGGGAAGCAUGUACGCCCCACCUCCUUUGCACCAAAGGGGAAACUAUCUCGUCCUGCCAUAUGCUGCUCGCCUAUCCUUCCCUGGUGUCACCCUUGACUGCCGAGGACCGGCCCUGCCUCGUAAUAUCCACCAAUCCGGACGGGUCCUGAAGAGGCCCCCCUACGGGUCUUGACGCUGCUCCUCCUCAUGAGGCUUAGCUCCUCACGAGGGCCUGCCCUUAAGCCGUGCUGGGUGAUACGUCUCCAUCGUAUCUACUUUUCCAAACUCUUUUUCCCUUGUUUUGCACUCUAGUUUGCAUGAUUUGAAUGGAACUAACCCGGACUAAUGUUGUUUUCAGUAGAAUUGUCAUGGUGUUGUUUUUGCGCAGAAAUAAAAGUUCCCGGAAUGACCUGAAAAUUUACGAAGAAUUUUUUGUGGAAUAUAUAAAAAAUACUAGCGCAAGAAUCAACCGAAGAAGUGGAGCGUGGAGCCCACAAGCCCACCAGGCGUGCCCCCCUGGCCGCGCCUAACAGGUUUGUGGGGCCCACAUUGCUCCACCGCCUCCCAUUCCACCNNNNNNNNNNNNNNNNNNNNNNNNNNNNNNNNNNNNNNNNNNNNNNNNNNNNNNNNNNNNNNNNNNNNNNNNNNNNNNNNNNNNNNNNNNNNNNNNNNNNGAGCACAUACUCAAAAUGUUUGGGUUACACGGUCGUCUGACUUCACUUGGAGUCGAACUUCCGGAUGAUGCUAUAAUUGACUGAAUCCUCCAGUCUCUCCCAUCAAGCUACAAAGGCUUUGUGCUUAACUACAACAUGCAAGGGAUGGAGAAGACCAUUCCCGAGUUGUACUCGAUACUCAAGUCUGCAGAAGUAGAAAUCAAGAAAGAGCAUCAAGUGUUGAUGGUCAACAAGACCACUAGUUUCAAGAAGGGCAAGGGUAAGAAGAACUUCAAGAAAGACGGCAAAGCUGUUGCUGCGCCCGGUAAGCCAGAUGCUGAGAAGAAGAAAAAGAAUGGACCCAAGCCUGAGACUGAGUGCUUCUAUUGCAAGGGAAAAGGUCACUGGAAGCGGAACUGCCCCAAAUACUUAGCGGACAAGAAGGCCGGCAACGUUAAAGGUAUAUGUGAUAUACAUGUUAUUGAUGUGUACCUUACCAGCGCUCUUAGUAGCUCCUGGGUAUUUGAUACCGGUGUUGUUGCUCACAUUUGCAACUCAAAGCAGGAACUGCGGAAUAAGCGGAGACUGGCCAAGGACGAGGUGACGAUGCGCGUCGGGAAUUGUUCAAAGGUCGAUGUGAUCGCCGUCGGCACGCUACCUCUACAUCUACAAUCGGGAUUAGUUUUGAACCUUAAUAAUUGUUAUUUAGUACCAGCUUUAAGCAUGAACAUUGUAUCAGGGUCUUGCUUAAUGCGAGACGGCUACUCAUUUAAGUGAGAGAAUAAUGGUUGUUCUAUUUAUAUGAGUGAUAUGUUUUAUGGUCAUGCUCCGCUGGUAAAUGGUUUAUUCUUGAUGAAUCUCGAUCGUGAUGUUACACAUAUUCAUAGUGUGAGUACCAGAAAAUGUAAAGUUGAUAAUGAUAGUCCCACAUACUUGUGGCACUGCCGCCUUGGUCAUAUCAGCGUUAAGCGCAUGAAGAAGCUCCAUACAGAUGGACUAUUAGAGUCUCUUGACUUUGAAUCAUUUGACACAUGCGAACCGUGCCUCAUGGGCAAGAUGACUAAGACUCCAUUCUCAGGAAUAAUGGAGAGAGCAACCGACUUAUUGGAAAUAAUACAUACCGAUGUGUGUGGUCCAAUGAACGUUGAAGCUCGCGGUGGUUAUCGUUAUGUUCUCACUCUCACCGAUGAUUUGAGUAGGUAUGGGUAUAUCUACUUGAUGAAGCACAAAUCUGAGACGUUUGAAAAGUUCAAGGAAUUUCAGAGUGAGGUUGAGAAUCAACGUGACAGAAAAAUUAAAUGUCUACGAUCUGAUCGUGGAGGAGAAUAUUUGAGUCACGAGUUUGGCACACACCUAAGGAAGUGUGGAAUCGUUUCACAACUGACGCCNNNNNNNNNNNNNNNNNNNNNNNNNNNNNNNNNNNNNNNNNNNNNNNNNNNNNNNNNNNNNNNNNNNNNNNNNNNNNNNNNNNNNNNNNNNNNNNNNNNNCAUUGUGAUCUAUUUAUUCACACAUGUAUUACUGUUUCCUGUUAAUACAAUUAUAGCAUGAACAAUAGACGAUUAUCAUGAACAAGGAAAUAUGAUAAUAACCAUUUUAUUAUUGCCGCUAGGGCAUAUUUCCAACAGUCUCCCACUUGCACUAGAGUCGAUAAUCUAGUUACAUUGUGAUGUAUCGAACACCCAUAGCAUUAUGGUGUUGAUCAUGUUUCGCUCGUGGAAGAUGUUUAGUCAACGGGUCUGCAAUAUUCAGAUCCGUGUGUACUUUACAAAUAUCUAUCACUCCACUCUGGACAUGGUCCUGGAUGGAGUUGUAGCGGCAUUUGAUGUGCUUUGUCUUCCGGUGAAAUCUGGGUUCCUUGGCUAUGGCAAUGGCCCCAGUGUUAUCACAGAAGAGUGUCAUUGGACCCGACGCGCUUGGAACCACUCCAAGGUCGGUGAUGAGCUCCUUCAUCCAAAUUCCUUCAUGAGCUACUUUUGAAGAAGCUAUGUACUCCGCUUCACAUGUAGAUGCUGCCACGACUUCUUGCUUGCUACUGCACCAGCUCACCGCCCCACCAUUCAACACAUAUACGUAUCCGGUCUGUGACUUAGAGUCAUCCGGAUCUGUGUCGAAGCUAGCGUCGACGUAACCCUUUACGACGAGCUCUUCGUCACCUCCAUAAACGAGAAACAUUUCCUUAGUCCUUUUCAUGUACUUAAGGAUAUUCUUGACCGCUGUCCGGUGCUCCAUACCGGGAUCACUUUGGUACCUCCCUACCAAGCUUAUGGCAAGGUUUAUAUGAGGUUGGGUACACAGCAUGGCAUACAUUAGAGAGCCCACGGCUGAUGCGUAGGGGACAUAACUCAUCUUCUCUCUAUCUGCUGCCGUGGUCGGCGACUGAGUCUUAGUCAAUCUCAUAGCUUGCAAAACUGGCAAGAACCCUUUCUUUGAGUUUUCCAUAUUGAACUUCAAUAUCUUGUCAAGGUAUGUACUUUGCGAAAGACCUAUGAGGCAUCUCGAUCUAUCUCUAUAGAUCUUGAUGCCUAAUAUGUAUGCAGCUUCUCCAAGGUCCUUCAUUGAAAAACUCUUGUUCAAAUAGGCCUUUAUGCUCUCCAACAUCUCUAUAUUAUUCCCCAUCAAUAAUAUGUCAUCCACAUACAGUAUGAGGAAAGCUACAGAGUUCCCACUCACUUUCUUGUACAGUCAGGCUUCUCCGUAAACCUGUAUGAACCCAAACGCUUUAAUCACCUCAUUAAAGCGAAUGUUCCAACUCCGAGAUGCUUGCACCAGCCCAUAGAUGGAGCGCUGGAGCUUGCACACUUUGCUAGCACCCUUAGGGUNNNNNNNNNNNNNNNNNNNNNNNNNNNUUGCUAGCACCCUUAGGGUCGACAAAACCUUCUGGUUGCGUCAUAUACAACUCUUCCUUAAGGUUCCCGUUAAGGAACACUGUUUUGACGUCCAUUUGCCAAAUUUCAUAAUCAUAAAAGGUGACAAUUGCUAACAUGAUUCGGACUGAUUUCAGCUUCGCUACGGGAGAGAAAGUCUCUUCGUAGUCAACUCCUUGAAUUUGUCGAAAACCCUUUGCGACAAGUUGAGCUUUGUAAAUGGUUACAUUACCGUUUGCAUCAGUCUUCUUCUUGAAGAUCCAUUUACUUUCUAUGGCUCGCCGCUCAUUGGGCAAUUCCACCAAAGUCCAUACUUUGUUCUCACACAUGGAUCCUAUCUCGGAUUUCAUAGCCUCAAGCCAUUUGUUGGAAUCCGGGCCCGCCAUCGCUUCUUCAUAGUUCGAAGGUUCACCGUUGUCUAACAACAUGAUUUCCAUCACAGGGCUGCCGUACCACUCUGGUGCGGAGCGUGCCCUUGUGGACCUUCGCGGUUCAGUAGUAACUUGAUCCGAAGCUUCAUGAUCAUCAUCAUUAACUUCCUCUUCAGUUGGUGUAGGCGCCACAGGAACAACUUCCCGCGUUGAGCUACUAUCCUGUUCGAGAGGGGGUGUAAUUACCUCAUCAAGUUCUACCUUCCUCCCACUUACUUCUUUCGAGAGAAACUCUUUCUCUAGAAAGGAUCCGUUCUUGGCAACAAAGGUUUUACCUUCGGAUCUAAGNNNNNNNNNNNNNNNNNNNNNNNNNNNNNNNNNNNNNNNNNNNNNNNNNNNNNNNNNNNNNNNNNNNNNNNNNNNNNNNNNNNNNNNNNNNNNNNNNNNNGUGAUAGUGAUGAUGAUGAUGCAUUUAUUGAUGAUGAUUAUUAGUUUGUAAGAUUCACAACUUAAAUUAUAUAUAUUUUAAUCUUUAUUAUUCAUGUACAUAUUAUUAUUCAUGUCAGUUAUUCAAUUUUUUUAUGUUGUACUAAUUUCUUUUAAUCUUUAUCAUGGCAGGUCACCUGGUGUUGAAAGAUGGUGGGCGCUGGUCCAGAGCGCUCGACGGGUUCUUCCCAGCCGCCCCGCACGAGGGGUGGUACUUCCCUUCCACCCCUAUGUCUCCGUAGAGCCUUGGCAGACAGUCUGUCGACACCACCCGUGGGUUCUUCUUCGUCGGCGGCAUUGCCCACUGGGAGAGGUGCUCUUCGGGUAGGGAAGAAGGGGAAGGGUACAUGGAGAGGUGGUGGCCACGGAAGAUCCAGGAGGACUGUUGAGCCGUCCUCGCCACCACCACCAGCUCAUUCACCCGAGCAUACGACUACUAUGGUCGACCCGUUUGCGGAAGAGGCUACGGGGACUCCGGUCUAGGAGCGUGGUGUUGACGGGCAUUCGUCCCAUGAGACUCCGGUCCAGGAUCAGCCUCGGGUCGAGGUGCAUUCGUCCCACGAGACUACGUUUCCGGAGGCUUCACCCGACGUGGAGAGGCCCGGAUGGGAUACCUGGCCGGAUCGGACCGAGUUGCCGGAUUGGACCGAGGGUCCGAGUGGCUCAGGGGGCUGGGAUGGCGGGGAUGAGUUUACGGAUAGUGAGGGCGAUGUGCAGGUGGACGGGGCCACCGUGUACAAGAGUGGUAGUACACGUCUCCCGGUCGUGCCGGCUACCCGCGAGCAGAGGCCGGUGAUUAAACCUGAAGGAGAUAGGUAAGUACAUUUACUCUUUUUUAGCUUUUGCCUUCAAGUUUGUUCAAAUAUCUAAUGUGUUGACCUUAUCAUACUGCAGGGGAUGGGUACACCCUAUUGGAGUCCGCAGGCCGAACUCCGUCCUUGGUGUGCUUUGCCGGACAAAUUUCCCGGGGUUUGUCACGUUGCUUGGUGAGGGUCAGGUUCCUACACUAGGAUUUUCCUGGGAGCACUACCAGGCUGCGCAAGCCCCGCCGGAAGAGAUUAUAGAUGGUGUCUUGUGACACACGAGGGUCGAGAUGGUGAUCAAGAGCUUUUGGGUAAAUUAUCCUUUUACACAAUCUAAAAUUAACAAGAUAAGUAAUUAUUGUACUAAUCGGUGUUUUCACGUUUGAUUGCAGACCUUCUAUAGGUGUGAGGAUGGAUAUGAGGAGGAGGCGGCCAAGGUUCUCGAGGCCGAGUGUAGGCGGUUACUACAGAACUUAUGCCACGAGGCUCGGCCGCAGGCUAUUCGAGACUACUAUGCCACGCGUGGUAUUAAGAAGCAGAAGAAGGAUUGCCGCGGAAAGUUUCUGAAGAAGGAGCAAUACAUGAAGGUAAUUACCUAUUCUUAAGUCCUUAUACGUAGUUUUCUUGAUUUCAUUCAUAGGCGUAGCGCUCAAAAUUCUUUCUAAUAACUUACAGGUGCCCCCGAGAUGGUGUGCGGAUAAGAUGGAUUGUUGGGAGGCGUUGGUUGAUGAGUGGUGCACAGGCAGCUGGCGAGCCGUCCACGAGAAUGCGAAGGAUCGGCAUAGCCAAAUGGUUGGUGUGCCACACCAUCAAGGCAACGCCAACUUACUUCAGUUUGGACGAAACUGGGUAUGUGAUUUGCUUCAUGAUUCAUGCAAUUCGUUCUUCAUGCUAGUGUUUUGAUCCUCUCUUUUAGGCGCAUCACAAUAAUACGGAGAUGCCACACUUGUACGACCUUUAUGGCAUGGCCCAUACUGCCUCGUACAAGAAGGCGAAGGCAUUCUCUGAGUCUGACCUGGAUGAUCCCAAUAACUUCACCAACAUAUCAUCCCACCACAAGCUCGUGGCAUACAGGGACGCGGGGAAGGCUAUGAAAGGGGAUGACUUUAACCCUAGCCAGGAACCUUUGGAUCCAAAGCUGGUGAUGAUAUCUGGUGGCAGGAGGCCCCAUGGCUCGAUAGCCAUUGGAGCUGGGAUAAUACGUUGUCCACUCACUCUCCCGGAGAUCAAGGCGCGCCAGUCGAGCAGUUGUCCUGAGAUAACGCGUCGUCCACGGCCAGUCGAUCUUGCCAUCGAGGUUAGUUGUACGGACUAAGAACACUUUCAUCCAUUUCAUUAUGUGUGUCACCAUAGAUCAUUACUGUGGUAACUAGGAGUGGUGUUUCAGGCUGCUCUUCGGAAAGAGAGGUUGGCAAACUAGGCUGCUCUUGAGAAAGAGAGAUUGGCAAACCAGGCUGCUCUUGAGAAAGAGAGAUUGGCAAGCCAGGCUGCUCUUGAUGAGAGGGACCAGACCACGACACGAUUGAUUGAGGAGGAGAGGUCCCGAAAUGAGGCGGGUCAACGGGCCGUGUAUGAGCUUUUUGUGGUAAGUUUUUUUUCACAUUAGCCAAAUCAUGUGUGUAAUGUCUGUUUCAUUACUAACUAAUACGACCCACUCUUCACGGUCAGUGCGAGAUGAGCGGUCAAGUCCCUCCGUCGAUGCCCGUCUUCUCUUCGAUUAGCAUGGUGAGUUUUAUUAUAAACUAGUAUUAAUAAUUUAGUGUCAUCAUGCUAACUCAGACAUUGCAAAAUAUCUAUUCUGCAGAAUAACUCCCGAGCGGCAUCGCCCGACCCUUCUCCACGUAUUUCUCCUCCUUGAUGACCACUACGGUAAGUUUAUAUUCUCCUCUUUCAUAUAAUGACAUAGUUAGCUAAUUUAGCUCCAAGAAGAGGAGAAGAGGAGGAGGAGGAGAAGGAGGAGAAGGCCAAGGACCUUCUAGUCCUUCUCCUCGUCCUCCUCCUUCUCCUCCUUCUUCUUUAUUUCUUCUUCUCCUCCUCCUCCUCCUCUUUCUUCUCCUCUUUCAUAUUCUCCUUGCCUUAAUUUCCCCAACAAUGACAUAAUUAGCCCAUUUAGCUCCAAAAUGCCAUAAUAACCUCAAAAUGGCAUAAGAACCUUGGUUAGCUCAUUAAUAUUAUAUACUUAGCUUGUUUUCCUCUAAAAUGGGACAAUUAGCCCAUUUAGCUCCAAAAAUACAUAGUUAGCUAAUUUAGCUCCAAGAAGAGGAGAAGAGGAGAAGAAAUAGGAAAAAUGAAAAGAAAGAAGAAGAAGAAGAAGAGAAGAAGGAGAAGGAGGAGGAGGAGGAGGAGAAGAAGAAUAAAUAAAGAAGAAGGAGGAGAAGGCCAAGGACCUUCUAGUCCUUCUCCUCCUCCUCCUCCUUCUCCUCCUUCUUCUUUAUUUCUUAUUCUUCUUCUCCUCCUCCUCUUUAUUCUCGUCUUUCAUAUUAUCCUUGCCUUAAUUUCCCUAACAAUGACAUAAUUAGCCAAUUUAGCUCCAAAAAGACAUUAUAAGCUCAAAAUGGCAUAAGAACAUUGGUUAGCACAUUAAUAUUAUAUACUUAGCUUGUUUUCCUCUAUAAUGACAUAGUUAGCUAAUUUAGCUCCAAGAAGAGGAGAAGAGGAGAAAUGAAAAGGAAGAACAAAAAGAAGAAGAGAAAGAGAAGAGAAGGAGAAGGAGAAGAAGGAGGAGGAGAAGAAGGAGAAGGAGGAGGAGGAGGAGGAGGAGGNNNNNNNNNNNNNNNNNNNNNNNNNNNNNNNNNNNNNNNNNNNNNNNNNNNNNNNNNNNNNNNNNNNNNNNNNNNNNNNNNNNNNNNNNNNNNNNNNNNNGAGAAGGCCAAUGUGGCCGUCGAACGCUGCAAAGAGGUGGAAUCCCGCCUGAGCGCCCUCCAAGGGGAACAUGCCAAGCUAGUCGAGCAACGCCGCUCGAAGGAGGAGGAACUCAAGGCCUGUGAGGCCAAGCUUGCCGCCCGGGAGAGGGAGCUGUCCCGGGAGACGAACCGCCUGGGAGCAGAACAGGAGCUCUUGGUUGAGCGGGAGAAGGAUGCCACNNNNNNNNNNNNNNNNNNNNNNNNNNNNNGCGGGAGAAGGAUGCCACCACGAAGGAGGCUCUCCUUGAGGCCUGGGAGAAGGCCCUCGCCGCAGCCAAGGAAAAGAAGGCCUCCGAGCUGGCAUGCUUCCCCGACGUCGAGCUUGUGCUUCGCAAGGCGAUCCACUACCUCUGUCGGGGUGGGUUUGACGAGCCUCUGGCUACCCCGGAGGAAAGCAUUUCCAUGCUCGCGAAUGGGCUCGUCACAGCGCUGCGGGAUGCCGUCAUGCAGAUCGACAAGUCCUUGGCGAGUGAAUGCCACGACCUCUUCUUCGCGGUCGUGACUCGUGUCUUCAGCCACGUUCAUCUUCGCGACCCCGAAUUUGAUCUAAGCUUCGUGAUCAUGUGGUUCCUCCCAGGGCCCGCGACCGCGUCGUGGAGUCGGUGAAGGGUCUUGUGGAGGCGUUGGUGAGGAAGUUCGCCCGCGUCGUGCCCCCCUCGUCACCAGGUACCGCUAGAGGCGACGAUAGGGAAGACAAUGCCUCCGAUGUCGACGACCAGCCCCCUGUGGAGGGGGUGACCGACGGCGGCUCCUCUUGAUCUACUGCACUUGUUAUUUCUCUGCAAUGCACAUCGUGCCUCGUGGAGGCGUCAAACUUAUUUGUGUUUUUUAUGAACUGGGUCAUGGUCUGUAAUAAUUGAAUGCUCGAUUGUUUUCCUCGGCUUGUUCCUAUCAUUUUUUCCGUGUUUCUCUAUGUCGGCAAGGCCGGCCCUGCUCGUACCUUCCCGUGAUUGGACUGACCGGAAACCAAGGACAACCCAAAGGGGGAAGGGGCUAUGAGCGCAGUUAGGCUCCUGAGUCGCGAUGCUCAGGAAUCCCCCUUGACGCGCAAGCUCCUCUCAUGAGGAGGACGUGGUGAAGAUUCCGAAACUUAGAACAUUUUCAGCACUCUGUGUCGGGAGAGCCUGCCCCGCGCAUACCUCGCCGCGAUUGAACCAACCAGAAACCAAGGACGGCCCAAAGGGGGAGUGGCUAUGAGCGUAGUUAGGCCCGUGAGUCGUGAUGCUCAUGGGUGCCCCUUGACGUGCGAGCGACUCCGAUCCUCUUCGUAAGAAACCGAUGGUGUGAGACUCUCGAACUCCUUCAACACUCUGCAUCUGCAGGGCCCGCCCCACGCGUACCUCCCCGCAGUUGAGCCGACCUGAAAGGGGUGGCUAAAAAGGGAAAGGGGCUACGGGCACAGUUCAGGCUCCUGAGUCGCGAUGCUCAGGAGUCACACUUGACAUGCGAGUGACUCCAGCAUUCUUCCUAAGGGAUUUAAAGCGACUUGUUGAGCGCAUUGGGCUAUGUGUCCGCAGGGCCCGCCCCCUGCGUACCUUCCUGCGAUUGAACCGUCCAAGGACGGCCCAAAGAGCGAAGGGGCUACGAGCAUAGUUAGGCCGCUGAGUCGCGAUGCUCAGGGGUCCCCCUUGAUGUGCGAGCGGCUCCGUACCUUCAGUUGUUUGCCCACACGCUGGGUGUGGGCGGAGCUGUGGAUGUAUUGCGCUGAUCCCCUCGAUGGCCUUGGGUGUAGCCAUUGGCGGGCUGUGUUAAUGCCGGUUGAGGGCGUAGUCAUCGGCGGACUAUAUUGGUUGCCCAUGUAUGUACCCAGCGCGGAGCAUAGGUCUUCUACUAGGCAUAGGGUGGACCCCUCCGUGUCCUCGGGGGGCCCUGGGCGUAUAUAGCCUCGGCUCGUUAUUACGUUAGAGUGUCACGGUGGGGGUGUAUAUGGGAGGUCGCGAGAAAGAUAGGGCCUUGCAAGUGUCCCUACCCCGAGGCAUCGGGGCCUGAUCUUCUCCCCAGCGUGGAGCGUAGGUCUGCCACUCGGUAUAGGAUGGACCCCAACNNNNNNNNNNNNNNNNNNNNNNNNNNNNNNNNGACCCCAACGUGUCCUCGGGAGGCCUUGGGCGUAUACAGCCUCGGCUCGUUAUUACGUGAGAGAGUCACAGUGGGGUGUAUAUGGGAGGUCGUGAGGAUGCUAUGGCCUCGCGAGUGUCCCUACCCCCGAGUCAUUGGUGGACUGAAUUGACUUGGUUUGGGUCAUUGGCAAACCCUGCUCACUUCUUCUUUAGGAGAGGGGCUCCGCACCUGCACGAACAAACUUUGACCGGAGCCCCCAAGCGGGGGCCGAUCGCCCGACAAUAUAACCAAGGCGGAACGUUAGGAUGCCAAGCAGGUGCAAUUGAACAACCAAAUGAUGCAUAAACGAAAGUAGUAGCUGGGGAAAGUACAGAGCUCGGGGAGGCCGCAUGGCCCUGGGGUUACCUAUGGACUGGGCGAACCGAAAGGUUACCUGGCAGCGGCCAGCAAAAAGUUACCUAGCGGCCGAGCUGCUGAAGUGCCGGAGGCUCUGUUGUCGCUUGAUUUCCUGGAUCCGCAGUCGCGACCCUCACGGGUCCAUCGCCCCCCGAUCUAGGGGCCUUCGCUUGGCCCGAGCAUCUUCUCCUCCUCCUCGUGGCGCCCAAGCACGCAAGGGAGGAGAAUGGCCUGCUGGAGCCUCUGGUACGUGGCAGCCGCGUUCCUCAGCCCGGAGAGCAUGAAGGCUUCAGUGCUCGGGUACUCCCACCAGUAGCCAGUCUGCGUAGGACAGAAGGGGUCGUGCGCCAUGGCUGCGUUGGUUGCAGACGCGUUAAUGCAGAUGCGGGGCCGGUCAACUGUGCAGACAGCGGCGACUGCGAUGGGUGGUGCGGGGCAGUUACCGUGUCGCAUGGUCUGGGCCUCGAGAAGUUCUCGGAUUUCUUUGAUGACGGACUCGCGAGAUCUGGUCGAACGUGCUCCGGAGUGCGCCCUCGGGAUGUGCUCAGACACCGCCUCUGUCUCACUGAUCAGGCUAGGGGCCUCCCCGGUGGGAGCCCCCUAGCCCUGAUCUAAGAGGGACGCCGAGCGCACAUCCCUAUGCGAUGGGGGGCAGGGAUCCGUCCCCGAGCAUCGAACACAAAGCCCCGAGGCACUCCGCAGGGAGGAACUCCUUCUUGAGCGGGGCUUCGUGAGGCAGCUCGUCAUCUUCAUCAUUUGAGCGUUCUGACGUUGCCGCACGGUACGCUCUCUCCAGUGCGUAGACAUCAUCCUUCUCAUGACAGGGUAUGGUGAUGUCACCACCGCUUCCCGGCAUCUUGAGGACAUUCUAUCCAUGGUGGACCACGACCAUGAACUUGGCAAGCACUGGUUACCCGAGGAUGGCAUUGUAUGGCAGAUGGAUGUGCGCGACGUCGAAGAGGAUGACCUUGGUGUGAUAGUUGUGGCGCUCGCCAAAGGUGACGGGCAGGUGCACUUGCCCAAUGGGUACGGUGGAUCCCUUUGUUACCCCUGAGAAGGGCUUGGUCGGCAUGAGUUGCUCAUACGGCAGCUGGAGCUUCUCGAAGGUCUCGACUGAGAGGAUGUUGAGCCCAGCUCCACUCUCAAUGAGAGUCUUGGUGACGAGGACGUUGCUGAUAGUUGGGGUGCACAUCAUUGGGAGCUUGCCAGCCAGGAACGAGCACCUGAGCUGGUCGCUUGGGUCGAAAGCAAUGGUGGUCUGGGACUAGUUGAGGGGACGUAUCGCUUCAGGCCUCGGGAGGGCGACAUUCACCUCCUGGGACAACUGCAUGAAGGCGUGGUUGGAUGCUGGGGUCUGGGCACCACCCAGGAUGGAAGCUAGUGCCCUGGCAUUCUGGAAGCCCCCAGCCCUGUCGUCUUGCUUGUCUUCGUUCCUCCUCCUGGGCUGCAGGGGCAGCGAGGGCAGCCUGGUCUCUCGAGGGCGAGCCUCACGAGGUUGGCCGCUUCGCUGGCCCUCCUGAGGAUUAUCACGCCAGCGGUCCUCCUGAGGUUGGCCAUGCCAGGGGUCCUCCUGAGGCUUCUCAUGCCACCCCUGACGUGGCUCACGAUCAUCCCAGCGGACCCCAUUGCGGCCUCCUCCAUGCAGGGUUUCUGUAGAACUGUCCGGGAUCCUGUUGAAGUGUUUGGCAUGAACCAAACGUAGUUCUUGACAUUCAGAGGUGUCAUGGCCGAUGGUGCAAUGGAAGAUGCACGUCGGCCCUCCUCCAGAGGGGCGCUCUCCCCCCUCGAGUAUGCUUCGUUUCAGGCUCGGCGGCUAGUACCGCUGGGGCCUUGCGCUUCAGCUCCUUGGCUUUGGCCUUCUUCUCUUCUGGGUCCGCCGCCUGGGGCCCAAGGAGCGAUAGGCGUCCUUCUUCCGCCUUGGCGCACUUGCUUGCCAAGUUGAACAUCUCCAAUGCGGUGCUCAUUUCAUCGUUCAUGGCAAGCUCUUCCUUCAUCUUGAGGUCGGUGACUCCGUUGGAUAAAGACGAUACGACAGCCUCAUCCGACGCCUUAGGGAUCAUGAGGCGCAUGACAGUCAAACAUUGUAUGAACUUGUGCAGGUUAUCCACCUCUUGCUGCUUGACGCGCCGCAGGUCGAUCACGGUGGGAGCGCGGUCGCGGGUGCCCUGGAAGUUGGCGAUGAAGCGCUCACGCAAGCCGUCCCAGGAGGUAAUGGACGCCUUUGGGAGGUUGAGGAGCCAUGAAAGCGCGCCACCCUUGAGCGCCAUCGGGAACCAACAUGCCAUGAUCUUGUCGCCACCUCCUGCCGCCUUGAUGCUCAGUGUGUAGAGUUGCAGGAACUCUGUCGGGUCUUGGUUUCCGUCGUAACAUGGGGGCAGGUCGGGCUUGAACUUGCAGGGCCAUGUGCCGGGGUAGAUAUCGGGGGCGAUGGUGAAGCACCCCACCGGUCCAACAAGCACAGUACGCGCGGGGGCUGCCUGGUCUUGUUGUUCCUCAGGGUCUGCCUCGAGCAGAGCACGCUCCGGGCGCGAGAUCUACAACGCCAGGGGAGCGCACGCGUUGGCGCGGGGCCUGGGGAUCAUCUGGCAGCUUGCUUCAUCCCCGGGCCUCGCCCUGGGUUCACGCGGCCGAGCACGGAGUCGUGCUUCCUGCCCGGGCUCGGGGUCCGCGACAUGCCGCGGAGGCGAGUAUGGCGCGUCUUGCUCCUCGUUGUUCGUCAGGGACGGCUAGGGCCGGAGCAAGCAGGAGAGUGCCGCUGAGUCACCAGCGGCGGCGAUGAGUUCCUCGAUGCGAUGGAUCGAGUUGUCAUGGCGGUCUAGAGCUGGUCGGUAAGGGAGAAGCUCGGUGGUCAUGGCAAGCGGGCGGCGGCCAUGGGGCCUCCCUAGCCGAGCGCGGGAUGCCGACGCCGAAGGCCUGACGAGCGACGGCGUGGCGGUGCAGCUGUCGACAUGCUCAGUCGGAGGUUGGGAGCAGCCCUGUUGCUCUAGAGCUUCGGGGCUGGUAGCAGCAUUCACCACGGGUGACGGUGACCGACACGCACCGGCAGCACCGACGGGUGCGGUCCGGGCGAUGCGGGUGGCGCGAUGUUCCGCACGUACCCGGUGUGUAUCAGCCAUCAGAGCCAUGGAGUUUGGUGAGGACGGAGCUUGGAGUAAACCUCGACACGCCCCUACCUGGCACGCCAAAUGUUGGAUUUCGGGCUCUGCAAAACCCUAAGGACUCAAACACUGGCGCGUGUACAAAGAUCUCCCCUUCUUCGCCUCGCCUGUCUCACUACUCGAUGGAAACAAUGAAGGACUCACUAGAAGGUGAGGAGAACACAGAACCCAGCAACUUACCCAGGUUCGAGCCGCUAUGAAGCGUAAAACCCUAAUACUGCUUUGGAGGAUUGCCUCUCUUCAAGGUUGAGGAACGAGAUGGUACAUGGCUUUUGCGCCUCCGGAGGCCAAGUGGCUAAGCGUGCUGCACUAGGGUUUCGAUCCCCUCUCUCAAGUAUCUGUUGGGCAAGGUUGCAUGGGAAACAAAAAAAUUCCUACGCACACGAAGACCUAUCAUGGUGAUGUUCAUCUACGAGAGGGAGGUCAUAUCCACAUACCCUUGUAGAUCGCUAAGCACGAAGUGUUAAGAAAUGUAGUUGAUGUAGUGGAACAGCUUUGUGAUUCAAAUCACCAUUGUCCCACGAUCCGUCCCGAUCUAGUACCGAACGGACCACACCUCUGCGUUCAGCGCACGUACAGCUCGAUGACGAUCUCUGCCUUCUUGAUCCAGCAAGAGAGACGGGGAUGUAGAUGAGUUCUCCGGCAGCGUGAUGGCGUGCUGGUGAUGGUGAUGAUCUAUUCCUACAGGGCUCCGCCCGACCUCCGCAAAAAACCGAUCUAGAGGAAGAACUACGAAGUAGAGGUUUAGGGUUUCAUGUGGCAAAGUUUUUUCUCAAGAACACUAAAAUCUCUAGUAUAUAUAGUAGGAGGGGAGGGGCUAGCCUUGGGGAUCAAGAGAGCCCCUAGGGCGUCGGCCGAGUGGAGGAGGAGGGACUCCCACUCCAAUUCGGUUUGGGAAGGAGGAGUCCCUUCCUUCCUUCCCACCUCCCUCUUUUUUUUCUCCUUUGAUUUUUCCUCUUGGACGAAAUAGCCCUAUUAGGCUGGCCUCACCAGCCCACCAAGGGCUGGUGCGCCACCCAUGGCCUAUUAGGUUCUCUCCCGGGUGGGUGGCCCCCUCCCGGUAAAAACCCGGAACCCAUUCAUCACUCCCGGUACACUGCCGGUAAUGCCCGAAAUCUUUCCGGAAGCCAAAUGAAACAAUCCUAUAUAUCAAUCUUCGUUUCCGGACCAUUUCGGAAACUCACUUGAUGUCUGUCAUCUCAUCCGGGAGUCCCAACAAACCUUCGGUCGCCAACACCUAUAACUCAACUAUACUGAAACGUCACCGAACCUUAAGUAUGCAGACCCUGCGGGUUCGAGAACAAUGCAGACAUGACCUGAGACACUCCCUGAUCAAUAUCCAAUGGAGGGACCUGGAUGUCCAUAUUGGAUCCUACAUAUUCUACAAAGAUCUUAUCAGUUGAACCUCUGUGCCAAGGAUUCAUAUAAUCCCGUAUACCAUUCCCUUUGUCCUUCGGUAUGUUACUUUCCCGAGAUUCGAUCGUCGGUAUCCCUAUACCUAUUUAAAUCUCGUUACCGGCAAGUCUCUUUACUCGUUCUGUAAUACAAGAUCCUGUGACAAACACUUUAGUCACAUUUCUUGCAAGGCUUAUAUGUGAUGUUGUAUUACCGAGUGGGCCCCGAGAUACCUCUCCGUCACANNNNNNNNNNNNNNNNNNNNNNNNNNNNNNNNNNNNNNNNNNNNNNNNNNNNNNNNNNNNNNNNNNNNNNNNNNNNNNNNNNNNNNNNNNNNNNNNNNNNAGCAUGUUUUCUCGAGCCAUGUUGGUACAUGAACAUGGACAUACACAUAUUCUUAGGAACAAAUAAGAAAGAUAAAUGGAGAAGGAAAACCCAAAGCAAUGUCAGAGUUGACAAAACUGCAAUGGCACUUUAUAUGUGGCCCAUCGUCAGUGAGCUGUUUAUGCCUUGCCGGACUCCUCGCAGCCUGGUGGCUUGAAGGCGAUGAAGCUGACGCACUGCACCUGACGCAUGUUGUCGAAUCCGAUGAUGCGGACAUACGCGUCAGGGUACUCCUUCUUGACCUCCUCCACCUCGUUGAGCACCUGUGUGGCGUCGGUGCAUCCGAACAUAGGCAGCUUCCACAUUGUCCAGUACCGGCCAUCGUAGUACCCAGGAGAUGCGUUGUGCUCACGGAAGAUGAACCCAACCUUGCUGAACUCGAGGCAAGGCACCCACUUGGAGCGGAUCAGGUAGUCGACCUGCUUAAGGAGGGCCUCCGUGCUGAGUGGUGGCAAGUAAGACAGGGUCUCGAACUUCUUGAUGCCCUCGAUGGGCCACACCUGCAAAUCAGAUUCACGUCUAUACAUUAAGAGACUAUAACUCUAGUUCUACACGUUUGAUUGUUCUUCUUGACAUCCGUCGGCUUAAAAAUGACUAGAAAGACAGAGACGAUGUUGUUUACCUGCAUGCACCUGAUCCUUCCACCGUUGCUGACGCUGCCGAGGCUAGCACCGUUCGAGCGGCGGCUGACGGGGAGGCCGGCGGUGGACUUGAGCCCCUGGAAAGGAGCGACGGAGGUGGCCGACGAGGCCAUCACGGUGGGGGCCAUAGCUGUACUAUGUAGGUAUAUAGCUUGCUAGAGGGAGGCACACUGGCUUGAGGACUG